RNAcentral lists this ribosomal RNA (623 nucleotides) under uncultured archaeon. RNAcentral's name for it is "bacterial SSU rRNA". It matches the Rfam family "Archaeal small subunit ribosomal RNA", at positions 146 to 774 of the family's 1478-position model. The record is from RNAcentral.
GUAAUACUCCAUAGUUCGUUAUUACUGGAAUGUUUUUCGAACAAAAGAUCCGUCGCUUCAGGAUGAGUCUGCGGCCGAUUAGGUAGUUGUUGGGGUAAUUGCCCAACAAGCCUGUAAUCGGUACGGGUUGUGGGAGCAAGAGCCCGGAGAUGGAUUCUGAGACACGAAUCCAGGCCCUACGGGGCGCAGCAGGCGCGAAAACUUUACCAUGCGGGCAACCGUGAUAAGGAAACCCCGAGUGCCAGCACAGGCUGGCUGUCCGCCAGUUUAAACAACUGGCGAAGAAAGGGCCGGGCAAGACCGGUGCCAGCCGCCGCGGUAAUACCGGCGGCUCGAGUGGUGGCCGCUAUUACUGGGCUUAAAGGGUCCGUAGCUUGAUAAUAGGGUCCCUUGAGAAAUCCGCCGGCUUAACUGGCGGGCGUUCAGGGGAAACUUGUUUUCUAGGGACCGGGAGAGGUGAGGGGUACUGCCGGGGUAGGAGUGAAAUCCUGUAAUCCCGGUGGGACCACCUAUGGCGAAGGCAUCUCACCAGAACGGGUCCGACAGUGAGGGACGAAAGCUGGGGGAGCAAACCGGAUUAGAUACCCGGGUAGUCCCAGCUGUAAACUAUGUGCGUUAGGUGU